UGAGGUCUACAUGAAAUUGCCUCCGGGUUUUAAAAGUUCGGAUUCUUCUUUGGUUUGCAGACUUAAAUUAGCUUCCUUUGUUCCUCUAGAGUCUUGAAUAUUACUGUCCUCCUCCCUUCUUCACUCUCCUCUUUCCCUUAAUCUUUUAUCAAUUCUCUCUUCCACGAGCACACAUCGACAUGAGCUAUUAUAAUCAACAAUCAAGCUUCACCAUCGACCCAUACCUACCGUCAACCCAUACCCGCCGGCAACAACUGUUCACACACCGCUUAACAACCGAGCAUCCACUAUCAAUGCAAGCCUCGUUGUCAACCCCAAGAGAAAGGAGCUUAACAGCGUUUCUGAAGGAGUGAAGGUUAUACUAAGCCCAACCUGACGAACUGUGGUGGGAGCUAUACCGACACUUUUUAGGCCAUUUUUUUACCAUAAUUUGUUGUAUUGAAAUUAUAUAAUGGGAUAGAAUAUAAUUUAGUUUGUAUCAAUUAAUUGAAAGGAUUAUUUUU
This is a long non-coding RNA of Chenopodium quinoa (quinoa), 503 nucleotides long. RefSeq lists it as uncharacterized. Lineage: Eukaryota; Viridiplantae; Streptophyta; Magnoliopsida; Caryophyllales; Amaranthaceae. The transcript has 2 exons. The record is from RefSeq and is a predicted model, not a curated record.